RNAcentral lists this ribosomal RNA (324 nucleotides) under uncultured eukaryote. RNAcentral's name for it is "partial 18S ribosomal RNA". It matches the Rfam family "Eukaryotic small subunit ribosomal RNA", at positions 1470 to 1796 of the family's 1831-position model. The record is from RNAcentral.
CCCUUAGAUGUUCUGGGCUGCACGCGCGCUACACUGAAGCUAUCAACACGUUUUCCCUCCCUGAGAAGGGCGGGUAACCUUUUGAAUCAGCUUCGUGGUAGGGAUCGGGGCUUGCAAUUGCUCCCCGUGAACCAGGAAUUCCUAGUAGACGCGAGUCAUAAGCUCGCAUCGAUUAAGUCCCUGCCCUUUGUACACACCGCCCGUCGCUACUACCGAUUGAACGUUUUAGUGAGGCAUUUGGACCGACGCAUCUCAGUUUAACCGCUGGUUUGUGUUGGAAAGACUUCCAAACUUGAGCGUUUAGAGGAAGUGAAAGUCGUAACA